Molecule: non-coding RNA, 69 nt
Organism: Bos taurus (domestic cattle)
Lineage: Eukaryota; Metazoa; Chordata; Mammalia; Artiodactyla; Bovidae
Source: Rfam
CCUGGUGGCUCAGAUGGUAAAGCGUCUGCCUGCAAUGCAGGAGACCCGGGUUCGAUUCCUGGGUCAGGA